Molecule: unclassified non-coding RNA, 235 nt
Filed under: Erythricium atropatanum
Lineage: Eukaryota; Fungi; Basidiomycota; Agaricomycetes; Corticiales; Corticiaceae
Description: partial internal transcribed spacer 2
Source: RNAcentral
AUAUCUCAGCCCGAAAGUUGAAUUUUUGAAAUACAACUGAGGGUUGGACUUGGAGGUAUUGCUGGCCUAGAGUCAGCUCCUCUCUAAAUGUAUUAGCAAAAUCUUUCAAGAUGUAGCUCAGUGUGAUAAAUUAUCUUACAUUGUGCAUAUGCGUCUUGCUUGUGCUACCCUGCCUCUAGUGCGGAUGUGUGGCAAAAGAUUGAGCUUCUAACUGUCAUUAGACAAUUUAAUUGAC